RNAcentral lists this transfer RNA (56 nucleotides) under Chordodes sp. VVA-2019. RNAcentral describes it as "tRNA-Thr". The record is from RNAcentral. Lineage: Eukaryota; Metazoa; Nematomorpha; Gordioida; Chordodea; Chordodidae.
UGUAUCUUAGUGUAAAUAAACACAUUAAUUUUGUAAAUUAAAGAUUUUAAAUACAU